Long non-coding RNA from Oncorhynchus masou masou (cherry salmon), 1781 nucleotides. RefSeq lists it as uncharacterized. The transcript is spliced from 3 exons. The record is from RefSeq and is a predicted model, not a curated record. NCBI's taxonomy places the organism in Eukaryota, Metazoa, Chordata, Actinopteri, Salmoniformes, Salmonidae.
AUUAGAUAUAUAUAUAUAUGUACUGUAUCAUUUUACUUUUACUUACAUUUUUGACACUUUGUGAAUAUGGAACCUGGACUGUUUUAAUGUAUCAGGUGAAGUUAUUCACCAGCUAUAGAGAGUUGUUUGCUUCUAAGACUGCAGGGUGGGAGAUACAAUGGCCUUGAGAACAGCAGGAAGUGUGUUGGGGGUCUUUGUCUGGUCUGUAGCAGCUCUCUCUCCAGAGUGUCCAUCCUGACCCAAACUGUGACACACACACCACUGAAAAUGAGGACCAGACACUCUGGCAGUAGUGUGAAAAUCCCCCACAGUGACACGUUCACAUCUCUUCAGAGAGACGCUCAGCACUCCGUAUAUCAGACCAUCCAGGGAAGAGAACCACCACAGAACCUGGACUGAUAGAACCACCACAGAACCUGGAGGGAAGAGAACCACCACUGAACCUGGAGGGAAGAGAACCACCACAGAACCUGGAGAGAAGAGAACCACCACAGAACCUGGACUAAAGAGAACCACCACAGAACCUGUACUAAAGAGAACCACCACAGAACCUGCACUGAAGAGAACCACCACUGAACCUGGAGGGAAGAGAACCACCACAGAACCUGCACUAAAGAGAACCACCACAGAACCUGCACUGAAGAGAACCACCACAGAACCUGUACUGAAGAGAACCACCACAGAACCUGGACUAAAGAGAACCACCACAGAACCUGCACUGAAGAGAACCAUCACAGAACCUGCACUGAAGAGUACCAUCACAAAAAAUGGACUAAAGAGAACCACCACAGAACAUGGACUAAAUAGCUAUGGCCCCAAACCAAAGCUAGUCCUUACACUCUAUUCUCUUGCUAAUAUAUUGUUAUAAUAUAAUGAAGGUUCACCCAAGUUACAAAAUUACACAUUGGUUUCCCUUCCCUUUUAGCAGUCUAUGAACAUGGUGACAUCAGUCCCUGCUUUGGUUUAGUUUCCCCUGACACUGUUUCCACUUGCUAACGUUUUAGCAUUCGUGGCACAAAUCCCAUUCGUCAUGUGACUGUUAAGAGGCAUUUCUCGCACAUAAUUUCAAAAUCAAUCAAAAGUUUAAAAAAAUGCUUUGUGAAGCACAACAAAGUCACUUACAGAUGAUUUGAACAUUAUGUGAGAAUGUUAAUAUGUGAAAUCUUAAUAUCAGUCCCGUGACUUGAAUGGGAUUUUUGUAAAUGUGGGUGUUCGACAUUGCAGCCGAAUUUAUAGGCAAGUUGAGAUCUACAAAUCACCUUGCAUGAUGAAUAACUACUCAAUAUUAUUUAUAGAUUAUUCAGUCAGUCACAAUUUACCCAUGAUACAUCAGUUUUGAUGUUCUCGAACACUGUCUGAGUGACUGCUGAAGGAAGCCUUCUCUGCAUAAGCUUCUUGGUCCCUGACAUAGAGUUGGAUAGAAGGUACAUCUUGACAUCUUUGUCAUGAUGUCUUCUGGAGCAGAAUGAGCAGCACCAUUGAGGGCUAUUUCUGUAUUAAAGUAGUUAAUAUCUUCAACUUCCAUAAGUUUAAUAACAGUCGGUAUACCAACUGAAAUGGUGUAUUCAAUGGCUUUAGUCAUGCUAAAAUGGGCUUUGAAGCAAGUACACCUCUACUCAACUCUAUUGUCCCUGACUGCCUCAAAGUUGUCAACCACAGACUUCAAACCUCACACUCAGUGUCUAUUUACAUAGACUUCCAGUAAGUUAACUUGCAACACAUCUCCCCUUCACUCUGUAAGUAUGCUUGACGAUAUCUUAAAAUAUGUUUAUUUUAUCAUU